UCUCUCUCUCUCUGCCCCUCCCCUGCUCAUGCAUGCACUCUUUCUCUCUCUCUCUCUCAAAAUAAAUAAAAAUAAGCUUAAACAAAAAAACUCUAUAAAGAAUUGACACAAAAACUGGUAGGACUAUAUAAAUAAAUUCAGCAAAGUAGCAGAUACAAAGCCAACACAGAAAAGUCAGGAGCAUUUCUAUACGUAAACAAUCAACAAUCUGGAAAGAAAAUUACAAAACAAUUCCAUUUAUAAUAACAUCAAAAUGUAUAAAAUACUUGAGAAUUAACCCAGGAGACUAAAGACUUCUACAAUGAAAACUACAAAUCAUUGCUGAAAGAAAUUAAAGGCAUAAAUGGUAACAUACACCAUGUUCAUGGAUUAGAAGAUUUGAUAUUGUUCAGAUGUUCAUACUACCCAACGUGAUACACAAAUUUAAUAUAAUCUCUAUAAAAAUCUCAACAACAAUUUUUGCACAAAUAGAAAAACCCAUCCUAAAAUCCAUAUGGAAUCUCAAGGGACUCUGAACAGCCAAAACAACCUUGAAAAAGAAAACUGGAGGACCCAUACUUGAUUUCAAAACUUACUACAAAGCUAUAAUAACUAAAAUAGUGUGGUGCUGGUAUAAAGACAGAUAUAUAUACCAAUAGAAAUGAAUAGACAGCCCAGAAAUAAACCCUCACCACACACAGUCACAUGAUUUUGGACAAUGGUAUCAAGUUUAUUCAAUGCAGAAACGGCAGUCUUUUCAACAAAUGGCCCUGAAGAAUGUGGCUAUCCACAUGCAAAAGAAUGAAGUUGGACUCCUACCUAACCCCAUAUACAAAAAUUAACCCAAAAUGGAUCCAUGAACUAAAGAAAACAUAGUAACCAUACAGAAUCAGGAUUGAGAAAAUUACUUGAAGAAUAUUCUGCAAAGCCAUCUUCUCCCAAUUCCAGAAUCAUCCGCUGUUUCCACCUCUCCAAGUAGAAAAUCUGUUCUGAUGUCAUGGUCUGUUGAAGGACCUUGGUCACACUUGGAAUCGUGUUUCUUUGCAAAGGGAUUCUCAAAGGAAUUGUAGGAGUACUUGUUGCAUUUGGUUUCAUGCUUUUCUCUGGAUUGAAGAGAGGACACCAGUUUCCUGGAACUUUUGCCGCCUCAUCUUGCUUUGGGGGCUUACACUUACUCACAGGUCCAUACAGUAAAUUAUCCUCCUCGAACAAUGAUUCUGGAGUCUGAGCAAGGCCUCUGGAUGACAAGACAGACUGUACUAAAUCAGAAUACCUUCCUUGGUCCACUUCGUCAUAAG
Molecule: long non-coding RNA, 1277 nt
Organism: Acinonyx jubatus (cheetah)
Lineage: Eukaryota; Metazoa; Chordata; Mammalia; Carnivora; Felidae
Exons: 2
Source: RefSeq, a predicted model, not a curated record